This 310-nucleotide unclassified non-coding RNA is filed under the name rhizosphere metagenome. RNAcentral describes it as "partial ribosomal RNA internal transcribed spacer region". The record is from RNAcentral.
GUAGGUGAACCUGCGGAAGGAUCAUUACAAAUUAGUUGUGAAUUUUGGGUGGUGUAAAGUGUAAAGUGUAAAGUGUAAAGUGUAAAGUGUGAUUUGUGAAGUGAAGUGUGAAGUGUGGUAUUUCGAUAUUACAUUACACACAUGCAUACAUUAAUUACAUUACUUGCACUACUCAUUAUCCAUUAUAGCCCACUCCUGAAAGGGAGAUGGACGCGCUAGUGCUAGUUCGCUGGCGCAAAUAGACCUUAAAUCAUGACUUAUUCAAAAAAGAAAAUAACCAAAACUUUUAACAAUGGAUCUCUUGGCUCUU